UAGUCCACGCCGUAAACGAUGUCUACUAGCCGUUGGGGAACUUGAGUCCUUAGUGGCGCAGCUAACGCACUAAGUAGACCGCCUGGGGAGUACGGCCGCAAGGUUAAAACUCAAAUGAAUUGACGGGGGCCCGCACAAGCGGUGGAGCAUGUGGUUUAAUUCGAUGCAACGCGAAGAACCUUACCAGGUCUUGACAUCCUGAAAACUUUCCAGAGAUGGAUUGGUGCCUUCGGGAAUUCAGUGACAGGUGCUGCAUGGCUGUCGUCAGCUCGUGUCGUGAGAUGUUGGGUUAAGUCCCGGCAACGAGCGCAACCCCUAUACUUAGUUGCCAGCAAGUAAUGUUGGGGACUCUAAGUAGACUGCCUGCGCAAGCAGAGAGGAAGGUGGGGACGACGUCAAGUCAUCAUGGCCCUUACGCCCAGGGCUACACACGUGCUACAAUGGAACGCACAGAGGGCAGCAAACCCGCGAGGGGGAGCGAAUCCCACAAAACGUUUCGUAGUCCGGAUCGG
Molecule: ribosomal RNA, 512 nt
Filed under: uncultured bacterium
Lineage: Bacteria
Description: bacterial SSU rRNA
Rfam family: Bacterial small subunit ribosomal RNA
Source: RNAcentral